RNAcentral lists this non-coding RNA (109 nucleotides) under pig gut metagenome. Its description in RNAcentral is "FMN riboswitch (RFN element)". It matches the Rfam family "FMN riboswitch aptamer (RFN element)". From Rfam's summary of the family: The RFN element is a highly conserved domain that is found frequently in the 5'-untranslated regions of prokaryotic mRNAs that encode for flavin mononucleotide (FMN) biosynthesis and transport proteins. This element is a metabolite-dependent riboswitch that directly binds FMN in the absence of proteins. The record is from RNAcentral.
GUUCUUGAGGCGAGGUGCAAUUCCUCACCGGUGGUAAAGCCCACGAGCAUCAUUUUGAUGUUGAUUUGGUGUAAUUCCAAAGCCGACGGUAUAGUCCGGAUGAAAGGAG